Molecule: RNA transcript, 2654 nt
Organism: Caenorhabditis elegans
Lineage: Eukaryota; Metazoa; Nematoda; Chromadorea; Rhabditida; Rhabditidae
Gene: T15B7.8
Gene name: Non-coding transcript of protein-coding gene T15B7.8a
Exons: 18
Source: RefSeq, marked reviewed
AUGUCAAGACUUCUCAAUUGUAAAUUUUCAAUAUUAGCGCUUGUUAUGAUAAUAUGUCUAACCCCUUUGUAUUUCAACUACAAUUCUGAAAAUACAUCAUCGAUUGAAGAAAUAAAGUUAAACUCAUCAAUUCCAGUGUCUGAAAUUAACGCUGAAAAUGAUCCGAUCAAAAUCACAAGAACUGUGAUACCAACGACCUCAUACCCAACGCUAGUUCCUGGAAGGGCCAAGAAUCUGACAAAUACAGUGAAACGUAGAUCUAAUUUUGCAAUCGAUCCAGUAUCUAGAAUUAAAGCUGGAAAUAAAUGGAUUGUGGUCACAACUAUUAGUUCGCCAACGGAAGAUAUCAAGAGACUUGCAUCAUUUGUGGAUUGGAACUUGGUAGUGGUUGCAGAUACCAAAACUCCGUUAGAUUGGAAACUGGAAAAUGUUCACUUCUUGUCUGUGCAAUAUCAAAGACAGUUGCCUUUUUCCCUAGUUUCAUCACUGCCUUAUAAAUCUUAUACACGGAAAAAUAUUGGAUAUUUGUAUGCAAUAUCUCAAGGAGCUGAAUGGGUUUAUGACACUGAUGAUGACAAUAAACCUUAUGAUAAGUUAAGAAAAAUUAAAACAAAAACAAUAGUUUAUUUAUUUUAGGGUUAGGAUUGAAUCAAUUCAAUUUCCAAGAAACCAUUUCUGGAAUGCGAUUUCGACCGAAAAAUGGAAACUCUACAGAAAUACGACAACGUCUUUUCAACCCUUAUCGAUUUUAUGGUAUGGAUCGAAUGUGCCCAAGGGGGUUCCCGUUAGAACAUUUUGAUAAACACACUAAUGGAAAUGAAACUCUUGUUUUAUGCUAUCAGAUGAAACGAGCAGCCGUGCAACAAGGAUUGGUUCAUCACGACCCGGACGUUGACGCCAUUUAUAGAUUGAUACAUGCUGAUUCGAAAAACGGCUUGGACAACAGAUUCAACAAAUUCGCUCCCGCUAUCACUUUAUCAGUUGGCACAUAUUCUCCAUGGAACUCACAGAACACUAUGUUCCACAAAUCAGCUUUUCAUACUUUGUUUCUUCCAACGACAGUUUCUUUCAGAACCACUGACAUCUGGAGAAGUUUUAUUUCUCAAAAAAUACUACAUCUAUCGGGGUUGACAGUAUCGUUUGUGCCGACAAACGCUGUUCAAUUUAGAAAUGCUCAUAACUAUUUAAAAGAUUUGAAAGAUGAAAAACAAGUUUAUGAAGAUUCUGGUAGAAUGAUUGAAUUUUUGCAUAAUUGGAAGUGCUCCACAAGAAAUUCCAGCCAAAACUGUAUAAUUGAAAUGACCAAUGAUUUGGUGAAAAAGAAGCUUCUAGGAAAAGAAGAUGCAAAAUUGAUGGAAAUGUUUUUGAAUGAUUUAACUGAAAUGGGAUUUAAGUUUCCCAUUUUGAUCGAAAAUGACUUUUUGGAUCCGUAUGCACCAUCAACAAAUGAAACCUCCAGAGAUGUCAACUGUCGAAGGAUGCACUUGGAGUUUGAACUUGUAGACCCAAACAAGAAAGUUUCAGAGGUCACUCAAAAAUCGAUACAGAAGCUGGAUUACUUUGGUGAAAUUAUCAAUUGGUGCGGUGAAACUGGAGAAUCAAUUGUCUCAACCAAGCUUUCUUCACCAAAACAAGUGCAUGACCAACAUAGAACAUCUUAUGUUUUACAGAAGCAUAUGAACAGUGUGUUGAUAGUGGUAAACAAUUACCCUUGGAAAUAUGGUAUGGGCUUGAUACAGCGACUUUAUCAACCAUACUUCGCCAUGGUGAUUUUCUGUGGUCCAUGGUAUCCUGCACAGUUUUCCGAUGACACAAAUUUCACAUCAACUAUUUCUCCAAUUAACUAUAUUCAUAUGAAUCCAGCUGAAAUUGAGAAAGGAUUCUAUGCAUACCAUUGUGCCACACUUGUCCAAGAAUUAGGCAUACAAAAUGUUGCAGGGUAUUUUCUGAUGGGAGACGAUACUGUAUUUAAUAUUUGGCAACGGAUCGAUUUUUCACGAAUCCAUCAUUUAACUGGUGUUUCAUUUGAGAAAAGUUCUGAGUGGUGGCAGUAUCCAGAUAUAGGAAUGGGAGCUGCCAAGAAUGUUGUGAGAUUUGUUAACAUCAGUAGAGACCCAAAAAUUGCUGAAACGUGGAAAAGAUUAGACACCGGGCUAAUGAAAAGUGGGUAUCUAACAAAUAAUGUAACCGUGAAUGAUGAGAUGACAUCGGGACAUGGAAGAAGUUUUUCUGAUUUCUUCUACAUCCCAGCAUCUGAAAUCGAUUAUUAUGCGAGUCUGAUGAGAAUUUUCUACGAGAACAAGUUAUUUUUGGAGAUAGCAGUAAACAAGUUUCUCAAAUCUGUCAAUUAUCAAACAUCAUUGUCCGGAACUUCUAGUUACUUAUGGGAAAACGACAGAAACAAUUGGGAUUCAUUCUACAGUAAAGACAUGGUUGCAAUGCAUCCGGUGAAAUUGAGCACUCUAAAAACGUCUUACGAGAAUAGAACAAGGUACUGUACAACGAUCGUUCAGUCAUGGGCUGAUAUCAUAUUCUCUGGAUCUCAAGAUUUCAAAAUAAAAGCGGACAAUGAGACAAAUCAUACAAACGGAAGCAUAACAUUUUUUGGGUCAAUUUUGAUAAUUAUUAUUGUUUUACUCUCAUUCCAUGUUUAA